CAAACCCCAGGCUGUCAGUUUUCUAUUUCUAAUAAUCAUCCAAUAAAAAUUACAGAGAGGCAGGAAGUCUCCAGCUGCCAGCUCAGACUCAUUACUGUGGGUCGUGUCAUCUGGAGAGCCAAAAGAAGUGAGGAAGGAUCCAGGAACUCUAAGUAUUAAAGUGCCAUCUCUGAAAGGACACAAGGACAGCAGAUAGAGAGAACUAGCUUCAGCAUUCUGAAGUCUGGCACUGCCCCAGAGCUCCAAGAGAUGCUUCACUGCCCUCUCCUGAAAUCUACCAGGUGGUGUGUGAAAGCCCAGAAAGCGUGCAGACUGUUGUCUUUGCAAUUUCACAAUUUAAAUCCACUGCACAGCUCAAGUAGAAACUACAAUUCUCCUUCAACAGCGACCUGCUUUGGAGAAACUCUCCCUGUACUUAUCCAUCACUCUUAACUUAAGGUCACACAUCAUUUCCAAGGCUGACUGAUAAUAGUACCUCAUACCAUCCCAAGCCAUACAAAAGCCAACGAGAGCACCUGGAGUAGCCCAUCCUCGGGAAAAGCGUUAGAUACCACUUACCAUACUGACAAAACUGCUGUUAAAAUACUACCAGUUCCUCUCAGGUCUUCAUUUCUAUUCACAGCAUUAUAAAAGAUCAGGAAGUGGUACUAUCUCUGUAGUACAGACAAAGUCCUAUGAAAACUCAUGGAAGGAACGACAUGAGCCAACACCAGCGUGUGACAGCAAUUUCCUCCAGGCCUAACUGGAGCCUGAAUGAACAGAGCUUCAACAGUGUUUGAUUCAAUAGGAAUUAAGAACCUGAAUAGCUUUCAGAAUCUGGAACAGCAAGAUUAAGAGAUGGGCUUCUGGAAGAUAUUUUGGAAGUCUGGAAGACUCUACAUGGACCUAAGUGAUUCUGGGUUUUAAGUUCCACUUUUAAACAUGAUCAUAACAUAACUUCUCAGGAUCACACCUUUUCCAUGAUUUUCAUAGGAAUGUCCACUAGGAUGAAUAAGGGUUUGCAAUUUGGAUCAGACAUAGUCUUUUCCUUCUAAUAGAUCUCUUACUUUAUUGGAUGUCACAACUCAUCGGCUUAAUAUUCUUCCCCGUAAUUGUUAAAUUUGCUAAAAUUUUGCACUCUGCCCUACAAAGUCUGAAAUAGUUUAAAAAUAUAUAUUGCUAAUGCAGAAUUUGGCAACUGCUGUGACAAUUCCACUGUGCACUGCUGAGGUGACUCUUUUUUCUUGUAGCUUUUAUUAAAUGGACUUGGGGAGGUAAGUCUACAUUUCCUUUGGUAGGUCAGCUGUAAAAUUUUACUUAAUAGCUAAAAUAAAGUUAUGAAAUGAUUUCUACUGGGAUUGAACAGAUGUGUAACUGAGAGAAACUCAGAGGACAUAGCAAGGAGUCCUUUUCCUUUCAUUUCUUAUUAAUACAACACCAAAUCAAAAAGCACUGCAAUUUCUAGAGUGAAAUUUCUGUUAGAUUUAACAGGCUUUGAAUCCAU
Myiozetetes cayanensis is the source of this 1483-nucleotide long non-coding RNA. RefSeq lists it as uncharacterized. NCBI's taxonomy places the organism in Eukaryota, Metazoa, Chordata, Aves, Passeriformes, Tyrannidae. The record is from RefSeq and is a predicted model, not a curated record. The transcript is spliced from 3 exons.